ACGGGCUUAGUGUAAGGGUUUAGCACAACAGUUUUCGGGACUGUCUGGGGACUCCAACCCCUCAGAGCCGGUUCGAGUCCGGCAGUCCGUGC
This 92-nucleotide transfer RNA is filed under the name Bacteroidia bacterium. RNAcentral's name for it is "tRNA-Arg". It matches the Rfam family "tRNA". Rfam says of the family: Transfer RNA (tRNA) molecules are approximately 80 nucleotides in length. Their secondary structure includes four short double-helical elements and three loops (D, anti-codon, and T loops). Further hydrogen bonds mediate the characteristic L-shaped molecular structure. tRNAs have two regions of fundamental functional importance: the anti-codon, which is responsible for specific mRNA codon recognition, and the 3' end, to which the tRNAs corresponding amino acid is attached (by aminoacyl-tRNA synthetases). tRNAs cope with the degeneracy of the genetic code in two manners: having more than one tRNA (with a specific anti-codon) for a particular amino acid; and 'wobble' base-pairing, i.e. permitting non-standard base-pairing at the 3rd anti-codon position. Lineage: Bacteria; Pseudomonadati; Bacteroidota; Bacteroidia. The record is from RNAcentral.